RNAcentral lists this ribosomal RNA (446 nucleotides) under uncultured bacterium. RNAcentral's name for it is "partial 16S ribosomal RNA". It matches the Rfam family "Bacterial small subunit ribosomal RNA", at positions 29 to 507 of the family's 1533-position model. The record is from RNAcentral.
AAUGAACGCUGGCGGCAUGCCUAACACAUGCAAGUCGAACGGGAAACUCGGGACACGGUGUUUCCAGUGGCGGACGGGGGAGUAACGUGCAAGAACCUGCCCUUGGGAGGGGAACAACAGCUGGAAACGGCGGCUAAUAUCCCGGAGGCAGAGGAGCAAAGGGAGGAGUCCGCCCGAGGGGGGGAUCGCGUCUGAUUAGCUAGUUGGUGAAGCAAUAGCUUACCAAGGCGAUGAUCAGUAGCGGGUCCGAGAGGAAGAUCAGCCACACUGGGACUGGGACACGCCGCAGACACCUCCGGGGGGCGGCGGUGUGGAGGGUACCGCAAUGGGCGAGAGCCUGAGAUAGCGCUGCGGCGUGGAAGUAGUAGGGCCACGGGUGGUGUACAUCUUUUCUCGGCGAAGAGGUAAUGACGGUACCUGGAGAAUAAGCACCGGCUAACUCCGUG